GGUCGCGCACCAGCCUCUCCUGUAGCUGGCAUUGCUUGACCUUGGACAGGUGACCUACCCCGUAGACCUGGGGGCCGCAGGAGGCUAGAGCUACGGAACCCACCGUGUCUUCCCGGUUUGAAAACACAUCUUGGUCAGAGAAUUUCCCUGGGGCCUCAACGUGGUUCGCGAAUUGCGAAGCCGCAGGCCCGGGUACGUUUCCGUGCGCCCGGAGUCACCUUUCAGCCUGCGAAGUAACUUUUACGACUGAUGUUUUUUCAACAUUACUAUGAGAAGGCUUCUUUCAGUGAAAAGUGUCCACCUAAGAUUUUUAUUACCAGUGGAUUUGACUGGCGACCGUAGCUAUGACAGCAGCAGGGCCACCCAUCUGCGGGAGGUCCAAGGGGGCACAGCAGCUCCUCACACCCUGAACUGGAGCCACCAAGACCAGCCUUCCACCUCCCAGGAGGUGAUCUGAGCUCUGAUGCGGAUGUGCUGACUCUGGGAAGCAGGGCUUCAGAAAAAGGGAGCGCGCCCAACUGACCAGCCCAAGAGGGACCUGCCUGUUACAGCAACCGUGGAUGUUGUCGCUGUGUUAAGGCUGAGCUCACUGCUCUCAGGCCGGCCCUCCUGGUUCUGCUCCACUGCUAAACCACUUUUCCUUUUUUGUAUGUGUUUCUAUGGCUGCUUUUGCUGAUUCACUCUGGCACACAAGAGAGGCUUAAAUGGCUGUGUGAUACGUUUGAGGCUCGUCCAAUGCUAAUCUUAGUUAUGUGCACCAGAUUGCCCCAAGUUCUAAUGUUUGCUUAAUUUGCUUUUCUCUGGGUGAGAAGAAAAGAGAGACUCACUCAAACACUGUUAAGGAAACACAGGUUUUCUUCUUUCCCCCUUUAUCCCUGAACUGCCUUGUACGGUCCUUUCAAGUGGCUUAUGGAAAGGAUUAAAAGUGAAGGGUGAAAAAAGACAAACAGAAGCUGUUUCUUUUGUCAGCCUCUGAAGUCCCACGAACAGACUGAAAGUUCAAUCGAGGUCUGUGAAAAUAUUAGCAGACGCCAAAAGGCCAGCGGCCAGGAUUUGUGUCUUUGUGCAAGAACUGAAUAGCUACCAACAGCUAGAAAAUUUUCAAAAGCUUGGCAGUGAUGCAACAGUCCUAUGAAAAAGAGAGUGAGAAAGAGAGAAACGUUCUUAAAUGAUUAGAUUUAUAAGCUUGUAUGAGAAUGUUCUCUACAGACCCUAAAGCCGCUUGAGCGUCUUAGGAAACUGAAAUAUUAAGACUUAGAGAUGACAUUUACGUAUUUUUUAACGAUGCUAUUAGUAAUAGUGGCUGAAAUAAAUCUGACUUGAAAUUUUUGGUAAGAGUUAUGCAUAAUCAUUAGUCAAAAUUUGUUUACAACAAUCAAAACAUGUAAACUUCUGGGAUAAUUCUAUUUUUGAGUUAUUCAGAAUGUUAAUCGCAUGACAUCUUAACAAGAUGGAAAUUUUUUCUCGGCAGUGAACUUUAUUAAUUACAUUAAUGUAGUCAUGAUUAGCCCUUAAUGAUUUAAUGCUUCUGUAUAUUUAAAUUGGAAGUAUAUCUACUUGAUUCAUCUUUCUAAAAAGAUAUUGGUCAACCUAGCUAAAGCUGUAUAAAGUGAAUUUAAACCAAUAUCAAAAGUUGGAAGUGCUCUUUAUAAAGUGGGAUUUUCAUUUUUAAGGUCAAAUAUAAGUGACAAAAAUAUGAUUAUGGCAAAUAAUUGGAGCUCUAUUAACUAAUCAAAUUAUAAAAUGUGUAAACGCUUCAAAAAUUCUUAGUCAAGGAAAAUUUCCUUUUAAUAAGUAUAACCCAUCGUUUUAAUUUAUGUUUAUCAGAAAUUAAUUUACUGCUGUUAUUUCCUUAAGGACAACUUUUCUACUGAAUCAAGCAUCUUACUAGAUACUAGACUGUGAGGACAUAAAAUAAACAGUAGAGGGCGCUUUAGUUCGCUAACAAAAUAAAGCCAUUCCUAAAACCUUUCUACAUCGGUAGAACAGACAGUGGGAAGAUUUCAACUGUCUGGUAAAGGUUAAACAAAGAUGGUAAAGCAACUCCUCUGCUUUGAGUAAAUAAUAAAUGCAAAUUCGUGAGCCCAUCAUUUCAAGAGUAUUUCAUUUAGAAGACCUCACAUUUAUUUGGAAAUUGCCUAAUCUGUUAAAUGUACUUGAUUGAAAUCAGUAAAUUCUCAUUAUUCAGGAUUUUUAAGAAGCAGACUGCUCUCAAUACGUAAGAAGGAGCACUGUGAAACUAUUUUUCUUGUAUGUUGGUUCUAUACACACUAACAGUUAACUUUAGUUAUGUGACUUAAUCACAAUUUCCUUCAAAAUCAUCUUUAGCAUCAUCAUCAUCAUCAUCGUCAUUUCAAGGCAAGAUCCCUGCUUUCUAGUAGCUUCUACUCUAUUCUAGCUGAAAAAAAAUAAAAUCAGUGAAAUAGCAAACAAAAGAGAAGACAAUGCACAAUUAAAUCUAAAUUGUGUUGUUCAGUGUGUGUGACCCCAGGCAAGUCGUUAUCAUUCCCAGGCGCUCAGUUUUUACAUUUUACAAUGAGGUUCUCACUUGGUGAUCUGACUAAAACACCGUCAUCCACUCUUAUUUUGUAUACUGUUCUAUCAAAUUUGGUUCACUUGUACUCAAGCUCUCAACAGAUUUACCAUGGUUCUGAGCCUUUUGGGGUUCAGACUCACUUGAAAAUAUUCACAGACAACUUGGGGCUUCUCCCCUGCAAAAAAAAAAAAAAAAAAAAACCA
This is a non-coding RNA of Vicugna pacos (alpaca), 2739 nucleotides long. Lineage: Eukaryota; Metazoa; Chordata; Mammalia; Artiodactyla; Camelidae. The record is from RefSeq and is a predicted model, not a curated record.